AUGGAGGCCCGCCUCCUCAAGACCCGACCGCUCCACGCCAUCUUCUCAGACGCCACCAUCUCCCGCUUCGCACGCAACCUGUUCGACGCGGUGCCGCGCCCGACCCCGGCGUUCUGCAGCACCUUCCUCUCCGCGCUCUCCAGGAGCUCCUCCCACCAGGACCUCCUCCAAGCCUUCUCGUCGAUUCAUCUCAAGGGCGCCGACGUCCCGUCCGGCUGCGUCCCGCUUGUUUUCAAGUCGUGCGCGCUCACCGCUUCGUCCUGCCAGGGCAGGCAGGUGCACUGCCAUGCUCUUGUCCGUGGGCUGCUUGGGGAUGUCUUUGUGCUGACAGCUCUGGUGGAUUUCUAUGCCAAGAAUGGAGACAUGGAGUCUGCCGUCAGUGUCUUUGACGAGAUGCCGGUGAAGGAUCCGAUACCGAUAAACUGUUUGAUCACCGGAUAUUCGAAAUCUGGUGAUGUGGGUAAGGCCAGGAGGCUAUUUGACGGUAUGGAGAGGAGGACAUCCGCUUCGUGGAAUUCGAUGAUCGCCUGUUAUGCUCAUGGUGGGGAAUUCCGGGAAGCAUUGAUGUUGUUUGAUCGGAUGCUGAGUGAGGGUGCAAGACCAAACGCUAUCACCAUCACGUCAGUGUUUUCGAUAUGCGCCAAGUCUGGCGAUCUUGAUACUGGCAAGCGUGUAAGGGCUCUGAUCGGUGAGGAGGACUUGCAGAACGUGAUAGUGCACACUGCUUUGAUGGAAAUGUAUGUAAAGUGUCGGGCUAUCGACGACGCACGUCGGGAGUUUGACCAGAUGUCAGAGAGAGAUGUCGUGGCAUGGAGCACCAUGAUUGCAGGUUAUGCGCAGAAUGGCAGGCCACUCGAAUCUCUUGAACUGUUUGAGAGGAUGAAGGCAACCGAUUGCAGGCCAAAUGAAGUGACACUUGUUGGUGUGCUAUCCGCGUGUGCGCAGUUGGGUUCUGAUGAAUUGGUUGAGCAGAUUGGGAACUAUGCUGAGAACCAGAGGCUACCACUUACGAGUUACCUAGGAUCUGCGCUAAUCGACAUGUACACCAGGUGCGGGCAUGUUGGAAGGGCCCGGAAUGUCUUCAGCCGGAUGGAACAAAAAGGGGUCAUCACAUGGAACUCCAUGAUCAGAGGCCUAGCAAUGAAUGGCUUCGCAGAAGAUGCGAUCAGCCUGUAUGAAAAUAUGGCGGAAAAUGGAGUCCAGCCCAAUGAGAUCACCUUCGUCGCGCUGCUAGCAGCAUGCACGCAUGCUGGCUUGGUAGACCAAGGUAUGGCAUUCUUCGAAGAGAUGAAGAGAGAACACCAUGUUUCCCCUCAAGUGGAGCACUGUGCAUGCAUAGUGGACCUCCUGUGCAAAUCCGGCAGACUGUGGGAGGCGUACAAGUUCAUCUGCGACAUGGAAGUCGAACCAAACGCAGUGAUCUGGACCACGCUGCUCAGUUCCUGCAGAGCCCAUGCUGAUGUUGAGCUUGCAAAGCUUGCCGCGAGCAAGCUCCUCACAGUGGAGCCUGACAACUCCUCAAUCUACGUCCUCCUGUCCAAUAUCUAUGCCGAUGCCGGCCUCUGGGGCGAUGUGAGGGAGAUCAGGGACCUGAUGAGGAGCAAGAACGUGCAGAAGCUGUCUGCCUACAGUUGGAUAAAGCUUGAUGGUGAAGUGCACAAGUUCCUGGUGCAAGACACAUACCACCCAAAAUCAGCUGAGAUUUACGACGUCAUCCACGGCUUGGGGUUGCUCCUAGACCGCGCCGACUCUGAUCCAGACCUGCUAGUUUCAGAGCUCUGUUGA
RNAcentral lists this ribosomal RNA (1785 nucleotides) under Triticum aestivum (bread wheat). Its description in RNAcentral is "partial small subunit ribosomal RNA". The record is from RNAcentral. Lineage: Eukaryota; Viridiplantae; Streptophyta; Magnoliopsida; Poales; Poaceae.